RNAcentral lists this ribosomal RNA (402 nucleotides) under uncultured prokaryote. RNAcentral's name for it is "bacterial SSU rRNA". It matches the Rfam family "Bacterial small subunit ribosomal RNA", at positions 355 to 774 of the family's 1533-position model. The record is from RNAcentral.
UAGGGAAUAUUAGAAAUGGACGAAAGUCUGAUCUAGCAACACCGCGUGUGCGAAGAAGGCCCUCGGGUCGUAAAGCACUUUUUGGAGGGAUGAGGAAGGACAGUACCUCCAGAAUAAGCCUCGGCUAACUACGUGCCAGCAGCCGCGGUAACACGUAGGAGGCAAGCGUUAUUCGGAUUUACUGGGCGUAAAGCGCGUGCAGGCGGUUCGGAAAGUUGGAUGUGAAAGCUCCUGGCUCAACUGGGAGAGGCCGUUCUAAACUGCAGAGCUAGAGGAUGGUAGAGGGAGGUGGAAUUCCGGGUGUAGCGGUGGAAUGCGCAGAUAUCCGGAGGAACACCAGUGGCGAAAGCGGCCUCCUGGACCAUUCCUGACACUCAGACGCGAAAGCUAGGGUAGCAAACG